AAAAACAAACUGAAGUCAAUCACCAUUAUUACAAAGUUGUUUGAAACUACAUGUGUAAUCCUAAAAACUUAAACGUGUUCAAGAGUGUUGAGGUCUGAGCCAUCAGCAUUUCGAUUUGGUCCUUUCUGCCUUAGAUAUCACAGUUUUUCUUUUGUGGAUAUCACAGAGUAAACAUCACAAUAUAGGCAGAAGCUUGUAUAAUUUCAAUCUAGUAUAGGCCACAAAAUAAAACAUUAUGCUGAUGCUGUUGUGAAUUGUAGAUUAAAAAAAACAUGGAACUACACCAUUAUUGGAGACCAAAUAAAAAUUCAUAGAUAAUCUCCAGUAUAUACAAUAGCUAGCUUUACAGGGUUAUCAAACAAUCAGAUACUAGAAGAGACUCCUCAUUGAGUCAUUAUUGGAGAUUAAAAUGAACCAACUUUGAAAAAUAAAAGGGGCGAUCUUCACAUGUCAAUCCACUAGGAAAUUAUUCCAUCCAAGAAUUAACAUACUUCACCAUCACUACUGUUUCAAAGAAUCAAAUGCUAAUAUACUGUAAUGACUUCAUUUCACAAGUGAAUCAAUUCAUCAACCAUGAACAAAUAUUGACAUGCACACAAAGCAAAAUGAUUUGUAGUUAAACAUCAGGAUUCCAACAGAUUCGUCAUGUUCAUAGAGUUAACAACUCAAAUAUUCAUUCAUUUUUUCAAAUAGAAAAUAACAGAAGUAAGCGGACGCACCUAAAGGCAGAAAACAUCAAUUAGAGGACCAAAUAGAGGUAUGAACUUUAAAGCUGGAGCGCAGCAGCUCCAAAAACAAACAGCCCCAGCAGAUUCAACAACUUCAAUCGCUCAAACCAUUGAGAGAAAUCCCAGAAAAUGUGCAUUUAUUGAAUGAAAACCCGAAACCAGGUUUAAAUCUUCCUUUUCAUCAUUUUUUUUCUUUCUUUUUUUGAUUUUUCGGAGUUCUUUUUUUUAGAUAUGAAAUUCGGUACUUUUAAAUCCAGAUGUUUCUAUUUGUGAAAGUGAGAAAGGAAUGAAGAAGGAGAGGGGGAAUAGCGUUGUUCUGGGUCUGUGAGAUGAGGAAUGGAGCAGCGUUUGUUUUUGGGUGUGGAAGAAAAUGGGGAAGAAGCCUUUUUCUUCUUGGUCUAAAAGAAUAUGAGAAAAUCUGAUUGUGG
Molecule: long non-coding RNA, 1156 nt
Filed under: Nicotiana tabacum (common tobacco)
Lineage: Eukaryota; Viridiplantae; Streptophyta; Magnoliopsida; Solanales; Solanaceae
Description: long non-coding RNA (NTAB_LNC002776)
Source: RNAcentral